CGCGUAGGCGGACAUGUAAGUUGUGGGUGAAAUCCCGAGGCUUAACCUCGGAGCUGCCUGCAAAACUGCAUGUCUUGAGGUUUGGAGAGGGAAGUGGAAUUCCAGGUGUAGCGGUGAAAUGCGUAGAUAUCCGGAGGAACACCCGUGGCGAAGGCGGCUUCCUGGCCAUAUCCUGACGCUGAGGUGCGAAAGCUAGGGGAGCGAACGGGAUUAGAUACCCCGGUAGUCCUAGCCGUAAACGAUGGAUACUAGGUGUUAGAGGUAUCGACCCCUCUAGUGCCGGGAGCUAACGCAUUAAGUAUCCCGCCUGGGGAGUACGACCGCAAGGUUGAA
This 333-nucleotide ribosomal RNA is filed under the name uncultured bacterium. RNAcentral describes it as "bacterial SSU rRNA". It matches the Rfam family "Bacterial small subunit ribosomal RNA", at positions 568 to 898 of the family's 1533-position model. The record is from RNAcentral.